Lolium rigidum is the source of this 1137-nucleotide long non-coding RNA. RefSeq lists it as uncharacterized. The record is from RefSeq and is a predicted model, not a curated record. Lineage: Eukaryota; Viridiplantae; Streptophyta; Magnoliopsida; Poales; Poaceae. The transcript has 4 exons.
UCAUCGUUGGACGGCGCUCCCACCGGUGGUCGUCCGUGAGACCACCAUCGCCGCCAUGACCCUUUCGCGUUGCCGGCCCUAAUCUGAAGCGUCGUCCUCCCCGAGAUCCUGCUGGUGGUCGCCUAUGGGAGUUGAUGUUGCCGACGUUCUCCACAAGGUAUUGCUCUGACAUACCUCAAGUCCAGCGGCCGGCAUGACAUGAUUCAUGGCCUCCGUCAAGCGAUCUAUCCACUCCCUGAUCUGGGCAGGGAGACCACGGAUCUGACCUGCUCUCUAGGUUUCUUUUCUUUUAUUGUUUGGAUGUAUUUUCCGUAUGGGUGACACGGAUCUGAGUCUUGGGUUUUCUUGUUCUUGUACGGAGGAGAUCUGGGCAGGGAAACCACGGAUCCGACCUGCUCUCUAGGUUUCUUGUAUGGAUCUGAGCUUUGGGUUUUCUUGUUCUUGUUAUUGUCUUUCGAGAUCAAGAGGGAGAACUCGUCGAACCAGCAGUGACCUUCACGAAGCACCGGGCCGGGUCCCGAAGAAGACCCGCGAGAUGCGCAUGCUCUGUGACGGUGUGGUCGGCCGCGUCAUCUUCUCAAGCUCUAUGAUUUAUGGACUCCCAAGACAGUGAUGCCAAGGAUCCUGGAGAAGUGCCAGACCAACUCCCGGAAGAUAUUGCGUGAUGAGAAGCACAAGCUUCUUGUCUAAUCUACUUCAGUAAUCAAAUAAACAUAUUCAGAGUUUGCAAACCCCAGAAAUGUUUUUAGAUUAAUUGUGUAGUGAUCAACAUGUUGCUGAAGGAGACAACAAACAAACAGAUAGAGCUCAGGCCGGAGGACCCGCAGAUGUCGGAGUUUACUCGGAAAAUCACGGAGUUUACUCGGAAAAUCACGGAUUUCACAAGGCUUAAUGGGAAGAAGCACUACUCAGAUGUAUUUGUUGCUGGUGGGUACAAAUGACUUGGUCAACCUCCCAUAUGGUUGGAGCCGAUCUGCUCAAUUUAGCUUGCGUGAAAGGUUCUCCAACAUGACAGUGUUUGACAACAGCUACAAGCACGACAGGCCACUAACGAUGCGCAUCGGUGCAGGCAAGUGAUUGCAAUUGGGAAGCACAAGCUGAUGAUCCGACUUUGGCAUACAGACUUGAACAAGCGGA